RNAcentral lists this ribosomal RNA (1036 nucleotides) under Escherichia coli. RNAcentral describes it as "partial 23S ribosomal RNA". It matches the Rfam family "Bacterial large subunit ribosomal RNA", at positions 117 to 1194 of the family's 2925-position model. The record is from RNAcentral. Lineage: Bacteria; Pseudomonadati; Pseudomonadota; Gammaproteobacteria; Enterobacterales; Enterobacteriaceae.
AUGGGGAAACCCAGUGUGAUUCGUCACACUAUCAUUAACUGAAUCCAUAGGUUAAUGAGGCGAACCGGGGGAACUGAAACAUCUAAGUACCCCGAGGAAAAGAAAUCAACCGAGAUUCCCCCAGUAGCGGCGAGCGAACGGGGAGCAGCCCAGAGCCUGAAUCAGUGUGUGUGUUAGUGGAAGCGUCUGGAAAGGCGUGCGAUACAGGGUGACAGCCCCGUACACAAAAAUGCACAUGCUGUGAGCUCGAUGAGUAGGGCGGGACACGUGGUAUCCUGUCUGAAUAUGGGGGGACCAUCCUCCAAGGCUAAAUACUCCUGACUGACCGAUAGUGAACCAGUACCGUGAGGGAAAGGCGAAAAGAACCCCGGCGAGGGGAGUGAAAAAGAACCUGAAACCGUGUACGUACAAGCAGUGGGAGCACAGAGCAAUCUGUGUGACUGCGUACCUUUUGUAUAAUGGGUCAGCGACUUAUAUUCUGUAGCAAGGUUAACCGAAUAGGGGAGCCGAAGGGAAACCGAGUCUUAACUGGGCGUUAAGUUGCAGGGUAUAGACCCGAAACCCGGUGAUCUAGCCAUGGGCAGGUUGAAGGUUGGGUAACACUAACUGGAGGACCGAACCGACUAAUGUUGAAAAAUUAGCGGAUGACUUGUGGCUGGGGGUGAAAGGCCAAUCAAACCGGGAGAUAGCUGGUUCUCCCCGAAAGCUAUUUAGGUAGCGCCUCGUGAAUUCAUCUCCGGGGGUAGAGCACUGUUUCGGCAAGGGGGUCAUCCCGACUUACCAACCCGAUGCAAACUGCGAAUACCGGAGAAUGUUAUCACGGGAGACACACGGCGGGUGCUAACGUCCGUCGUGAAGAGGGAAACAACCCAGACCGCCAGCUAAGGUCCCAAAGUCAUGGUUAAGUGGGAAACGAUGUGGGAAGGCCCAGACAGCCAGGAUGUUGGCUUAGAAGCAGCCAUCAUUUAAAGAAAGCGUAAUAGCUCACUGGUCGAGUCGGCCUGCGCGGAAGAUGUAACGGGGCUAAACCAUGCAC